AACAAUUCAUUUUAACAAUUAAAAAUUUACGUAAUUCGGAAAAAACAAAAACGGACACUUUUCCCCCGCGCUGUAGCGCGGAUCCGGAUCUAGUUUAGUGCAUAAAGGAAGCUAUUUUGUGAUGAUUUUUUUAUAUUUUUUUUGGGUGCAAAUUAUGAAGGAUUUUUUAAAAACCAGGUUUUGUAGUCGAUUAAAGAAACAAAUUUUCUUUAUUACUCAUAAAAAUGGAAACAAAUUUUACAAAAAACAAAAAAAAAUGUAAAACAAAAAACUUUUACAAAUAAGUUCAUGUGGGUCACGGACUCACACUGCUGGACUCGGAC
RNAcentral lists this long non-coding RNA (323 nucleotides) under Capsella rubella. RNAcentral's name for it is "long non-coding RNA (CRUB_LNC002392)". Lineage: Eukaryota; Viridiplantae; Streptophyta; Magnoliopsida; Brassicales; Brassicaceae. The record is from RNAcentral.